RNAcentral lists this ribosomal RNA (98 nucleotides) under uncultured bacterium. RNAcentral describes it as "partial 16S ribosomal RNA". The record is from RNAcentral.
CACACCGCCCGUCACACCAUGGGAGUUGAUUGCACCAGAAGCAGGUAGCCUAACCGCAAGGGAGGCAGGUCCCCAAGGAGUGAUCGGUAACUGGGGUG